CUGGUUGGCGGCACGAUACGCUUACCUGGUCUCAGCUGUUCAGCGCAUCAGCUGAUUCGGUCGACGUUAUCGCUUAUCACCCCGCGUGGGUGACAGAUCACGGUGCCGGUUACCCUUCAAUGCGAGGUCCCCGGAACGGGACGACGCGUGACCGUUCAGUAUGUGGCUGAGGCUCAAGUGCGGAUCGGGUCAGUGUGUUUGCCACUCAAUGCGCGGCCAAGAAGGCACUCACUGCAUGCCAAGAUGGGAUCGAGUUUCUAGGUUAUGGCGCUCAGUAUGUGCACGAGGAAAUGCGGUUCAAUCCACCAAGAAGUACGGUCUGCUUACUACGCAGGCCGGAGAAGCUCUGAUAGCUUAUCGCUGGUGAAGGGCUUAUAUACCCUCCACCCGGUGGUCAGGGGAGUAGAGAAGAGCGGUGGGAGCCGCACGAGGUUAUUGUUGGACCACGCACAGAAAUUAUAGAUAUCGUUCCUGAAUGGCCAGGAAGCGAACAUAACAGUAGGAUCUUCCAAAAUUCUCGCAUAUAUAUGCGAUAAGCAAGGCGAACUAGAUGGAAUGUUUGUGGGAGAUGCUGGAUACCCCGCUUGACUCUUUUUACUUACGCCGAUUGGUAAUCCUAGAACGGAUGAAGAAAUAAGUUAUAAUACAAUUCAUGGAAGAACAAGAAGAAUUGUCGAAAGAACGUUUGGUAUAUGGAAACGUAGAUUUCCUUGUUUGUCAAAAGGACUUACUACAAAAUUAUUAACGUCUACAUCCAUUGUCGUGGCUUGUGCUGUUCUUCAUAAUCUAUUAUUGAUUUUCAACGAUAACUUAGAAGAUGAUGAUGAAAUAGUAAAUAUAAAUAAUGAUGUUCCGGUGGCCGAACCUCACUGGCAGCCUGGGGAUGGCAUUCUCAUACGAAAUGCUCUUAUCGAACGAUUGUUCAGAAUUUAAAGCUGAAGUUACAGACAAUAAAUAUUUACAGAAGAGACAUGCAAUGACAGUGAUAUGAAUGUAAGUCAAAUAAAGAAAAUACAUGGAUAACGAUGAUAUAAAUAAAGGAAAGAAAAAGAAAAAAUUAGAUAUGCAAAUAUGGUGAAAAGAAAUAAAAUUUAAUUGUAAAAAUAAAAUACACUUAUUAUACGUCAACAUAAAUUGUUUGAACAUAACAUAAUAUGUAUCCAGAUAAUCAAACCUGCAAAAGCAGAAUCCCACAGCAAAUCCAUAGCCUACUGUGUCCGCAUUAAGUUCGUGUUCUGUGGACAGAGACUGCAUUCGACUGAUCUGCUCCUUUUCUGCCGCCAAUAUGCUGUCAGAUUUUGUCCAGCAGAUUCUGUCUACAAAACACAAGCUUAAUGCGGACACAGUAGGCUAUAUGAAUCCGCUGUGUGGGAUUCUGCUUUUGCAGGUUUGGUUAUCUGGGUAAUUUUAUACUUACUUGAUAAUAAACUCGAAGAUACACAGUGUAGAUUAUUGAAGGAAUAUGCCUGCAAUUAAAUAAAUGUUAUACUUAUUAAUAAUA
Molecule: unclassified non-coding RNA, 1501 nt
Filed under: Monomorium pharaonis (pharaoh ant)
Lineage: Eukaryota; Metazoa; Arthropoda; Insecta; Hymenoptera; Formicidae
Description: uncharacterized LOC105830042, transcript variant X3
Source: RNAcentral